UAGAGGAAGUAAAAGUCGUAACAAGGUUUCCGUAGGUGAACCUGCGGAAGGAUCAUUACCGAGUUGAUUCGGGCUCCGGCCCGAUCCUCCCACCCUUUGUGUACCUACCUCUGUUGCUUUGGCGGGCCGCGGUCCUCCGCGGCCGCCCCCCUCCCCGGGGGGGUGGCCAGCGCCCGCCAGAGGACCAUCAAACUCCAGUCAGUAAACGAUGCAGUCUGAAAAACAUUUAAUAAACUAAAACUUUCAACAACGGAUCUCUUGGUUCUGGCAUCGAUGAAGAACGCAGCGAAAUGCGAUAAGUAAUGUGAAUUGCAGAAUUCAGUGAAUCAUCGAAUCUUUGAACGCACAUUGCGCCCUUUGGUAUUCCGAAGGGCAUGCCUGUUCGAGCGUCAUUACAACCCUCAAGCUCUGCUUGGUAUUGGGCACCGUCCUUUGCGGGCGCGCCUCAAAGACCUCGGCGGUGGCGUCUUGCCUCAAGCGUAGUAGAACAUACAUCUCGCUUCGGAGCGCAGGGCGUCGCCCGCCGGACGAACCUUCUGAACUUUUCUCAAGGUUGACCUCGGAUCAGGUA
This 571-nucleotide ribosomal RNA is filed under the name Botryosphaeria dothidea. RNAcentral's name for it is "eukaryotic LSU rRNA". The stretch from base 239 to 392 matches the Rfam family "5.8S ribosomal RNA". Lineage: Eukaryota; Fungi; Ascomycota; Dothideomycetes; Botryosphaeriales; Botryosphaeriaceae. The record is from RNAcentral.